Molecule: long non-coding RNA, 390 nt
Filed under: Bos indicus x Bos taurus (hybrid cattle)
Lineage: Eukaryota; Metazoa; Chordata; Mammalia; Artiodactyla; Bovidae
Description: lncRNA (ENSBIXG00000027308.1)
Source: RNAcentral
ACCUGGAAUAAUGAGAGCAGAUCUAUUAAUGUGGUGAAGAAACAGUAGGGGAGAAUACACGGAAGAGUGAAGUGAGUCAUCCUCUUCACAAGGUGGUUUCGCUUAUGAGUUCGCCUUCUCAGUCUCUACCUGUAUGCCUUCUGGAGUAAGAAUGCUUCAUGAUACAAAAUCCACUUCAGGAAGAACAAUUCAGAGCUGGAAGUCUCAGGUCUGAGUUUCUGGGUGGCAGAUAUACAUUUUUUGAAUAGCAUCCCAUCAAAUCCUGCUGCUGCUGCUGCUGCUGCUGCUAAGUCACUUCAGUUGCGUCCGACUCUGUAUGACCCUAUAGACAGCAGCCCACCAGGCUCCCCCGUCCCUGGGAUUCUCCAGGCAAGAACACUGGAGUGGGUU